GCUGUGGUCACACACUCUCAGUGGCUUCAGCUGAAGUACACACAACUAAGCCAAUAGCAUUUCAAUAUUGGCAGACUGUAAGUAGUGAUUGCAAUCAUAUUCAGUUAGGUAAUUACUACAGUUAAAUGCUACAACAGGACUUCGUGAGAUAAUGCUCACAAUUAAUUAACUUUCCAAUUUAGUUUAGCUCACAUAUACUUAGUGACUGCCCCAUGAAUCUGCUUUCUUCCACUGAAAUAAGUGAAGAGUUAAUUUUCAAGAGCUCCAACCACAGAUGUAAUCUUCACAGAGGCUUGCUGUUACACUUCUAAUUCUCCCAGGACACACACAAAAGGAGCUCUUUGGGGUCUGACAUAGUACUGAGAUGACUCAUGUAUCUUAGAGGAGAAGAAUGACAUUCACAUGCUACCUACAACUAUUUCCUUGACCCAGGUCAUUGAGAAGCUAGCUCUUGAGCUGGGGAAGACACCAAUCCUCACUUUAGACCCCAAGUGGGUUUGACUCAAAGUGUCCUUUAAGGUCUAGGGAUGGGUUAGUCCCCCUAACUCUGACAGGGAGGGAGAGAAAAAUAAAAGAGCCCAAAAGUAAAACAUGUGUCCUUGAGGACAGCUAAAAGGUCAACUAUUCCCAAGAGAGGUUAUUAUUGUUUAUCCCGUAAUAUGGAAGUGUCUGCAGACGAAGAGAGAAGCUGGAAACAGAACUCUGGAAAGCUGAGCCACUGAGACAGCUCAAUUGAGAACUGCAGCUGACUGCCUCAGUUUCCCCAGUUAGUUUCUGCUGGAUAUUGUGAACAACCUACUAGAUGACGCUACCUUUCUAUAUUUUAGCUGUUGUUACUUCGAAGCCUCACCCCAAGGGACAGUCUAUUCUGCCUGGGACUUGUACUGGGAACUCUAGUUGGCUGCAUUAAAGCUGCUUCCACAGUUGGUU
Molecule: non-coding RNA, 930 nt
Organism: Peromyscus maniculatus bairdii (prairie deer mouse)
Lineage: Eukaryota; Metazoa; Chordata; Mammalia; Rodentia; Cricetidae
Source: RefSeq, a predicted model, not a curated record